GCCCUAGUAACGGCGAGUGAAGCGGCAACAGCUCAAAUUUGAAAUCUGGCGUCUUUGGCGUCCGAGUUGUAAUUUGCAGAGGGCGCUUUGGCAUUGGCAGCGGUCCAAGUUCCUUGGAACAGGACGUCACAGAGGGUGAGAAUCCCGUACGUGGUCGCUAGCCUUUACCGUGUAAAGCCCCUUCGACGAGUCGAGUUGUUUGGGAAUGCAGCUCUAAAUGGGAGGUAAAUUUCUUCUAAAGCUAAAUACUGGCCAGAGACCGAUAGCGCACAAGUAGAGUGAUCGAAAGAUGAAAAGCACUUUGGAAAGAGAGUUAAAAAGCACGUGAAAUUGUUGAAAGGGAAGCGCUUGCAGCCAGACUUGCCUGUAGUUGCUCAUCCGGGUUUUUACCCGGUGCACUCUUCUAUAGGCAGGCCAGCAUCAGUUUGGGCGGUUGGAUAAAGGUCUCUGUCAUGUACCUCCUCUCGGGGAGAACUUAUAGGGGAGACGACAUGCAACCAGCCUGGACUGAGGUCCGCGCAUCUGCUAGGAUGCUGGCGUAAUGGCUGUAAGCGGCCCGUCUUGAAACACGGACCAAGGAGUCUAACAUCUAUGCGAGUGUUUGGGUGUCAAGCCCGAACGCGUAAUGAAAGUGAACGGAGGUGGGAACCUUUCGGGGUGCACCAUCGACCGAUCCUGAUGUCUUCGGAUGGAUUUGAGUAAGAGCAUAGCUGUUGGGACCCGAAAGAUGGUGAACUAUGCUUGAAUAGGGUGAAGCCAGAGGAAACUCUGGUGGAGGCUCGCAGCGGUUCUGACGUGCAAAUCGAUCGUCAAAUUUGGGCAUAGGGGCGAAAGACUAAUCGAACUAUCUAGUAGCUGGUUCCUGCCGAAGUUUCCCUCAGGAUAGCAGUAACGUUUUCAGUUUUAUGAGGUAAAGCGAAUGAUUAGAGGCCUGGGGGUUGAAACAACCUU
RNAcentral lists this ribosomal RNA (951 nucleotides) under Heterophoma verbascicola. RNAcentral's name for it is "eukaryotic LSU rRNA". It matches the Rfam family "Eukaryotic large subunit ribosomal RNA", at positions 77 to 1048 of the family's 3401-position model. The record is from RNAcentral. Lineage: Eukaryota; Fungi; Ascomycota; Dothideomycetes; Pleosporales; Didymellaceae.